CCUCUCUCUCUUUCCCUCCCCACCACCCUCCUUAUCCUAUUGGUUCUGUCCCUCUGGAGAAUCCUGACUUACACAGUGGCUGUGUUUAAUACAGCAGUAUCCUAAGUGGGAAAAAGAACUUGGAUCCCUGAGUCACCCCCUGCUUGGAGGACAGCUACCGAAGAGAGUUGACAUUGAUAUUGGACUGUAAUCUGGGGAGCCAUCAAGUUACUAAUAAUCCAGAAGGAAGAAGGGACCUUCAGAUGAAACAAUACAAGAAAGACUUUCAAAAAGGCACGUGAAGAACAAGACAUCUGUAAUGCAGAAGGUACCAGAGUAAAUGAGCUGUCAGAAUUCAGAAAGCUUCACCAAGUAUUGUGUAAAACACGUACGUGUGUUCUCAGUGAAAAAAGAAAAAGAGAAUAGAAAGCAACGCCCUACCCAUUUAUGUGAGAAAACUGAGGGUCAUAGAGGGAAAGUGCCUCAUCCAUGCCGCCUGGCUAGUAAGACAAAACCCUGGGACUGGAACCCAUGUUUAAACCCCACUCUUUUUUUCUUCUAUUGGUAAUCAGACUUCUCCUAGAAAGUGGCCAUUCUCUAAUCACAGCUUCCAGAACUGUUC
RNAcentral lists this long non-coding RNA (601 nucleotides) under Homo sapiens (human). RNAcentral describes it as "HSALNT0242573". The record is from RNAcentral. Lineage: Eukaryota; Metazoa; Chordata; Mammalia; Primates; Hominidae.